CUUCGUGCGAGGCACCACCAAAAUAAAAAGCUGUUUCACAUAUUAGGGUUUCCUCUGCUUCUUUUGCCUACUGUAGACCUCCGCCGCUUCUGCUUCCAAUCCUCUCCUUCGUUCUUUAUUCUCUUUUUUGUUCUUUUGUUUUUCAUCUUCAUCUAUCUACAGAAUAGAAAACUUGAUCCAUUCCUUCUUCUCGGCCACCACUUCUCAAAUCCCCCAAUUCCCCCAAGCCGCAACAACAACCACCACCACCACCGCUUCAAUUCUUUCUUGGCGUUGAUUUUGGGAGGGGUGAGGUUUCGGCUGGACGGCUUGCUUGAGGAAGGGGAGUGGCCGGAGGGAUAAAUGCUUCAGCAGUUAGCUCUGUCUGUGAAAAAAAGAAAAGGAAAAAAAAAUUAAAAAAGAAGACGAUGGUGGCAAUUUGGGUUCUUAUACAAGGGUUUGUUUUCCAAAAGGCUUUGGAAGAACUGGAUGUUUGGUUGCUAGAGUCAUCUUGCUAUCAAUGAUCCAUUUAUCACCACUGAUUACAUGUUUACAGAUGAAAAUGGACAAAGGCAAUAUGUGUGGCAGACAUCAUGGGUUAUUAGCAUGUGAAUUGUUGGAGGUUAAGGAGGGAAAAGGUAAGAAGAAUCAGCAACGAUGGCGGUGCCUUUGCUUUCGAAGAAGACAAUGAAGAAAAAGGUUAACAAGUUCAAGCAACUCCAGAGUGACCGACAAAUUUCCAUCAAGGAAAAUGAUUGUGGAAGCUUUAAAGAAAAUGAUCAGAAAUCUCUUGGAAUCGUCUUGCAAAAGUAGAAUUUGCUGUUCAUGGGAUUGACUAUGAAGGCCAUGCAAAGCCAUUGGUAUUGUUAAAGCUUCAAAACCUGUGGUCCCUUAUUCCUCUGAUCUUGAGAAAUGCGGAGAAAAUGCGAGGAUGAAACUGCCAGCAUUUAAAGAAUGCAGUUUAGAUGAGCUAAAGAUGGCACCUUCAAGAUUCUCAAUUGAAAACAUUGUAUCAGAACAUGGAGAUAGAGCUCGCAAUGUUGUCUACAAAGGGCAGCUUGAAGAUGACGCCUCUUGGAUUGCUGUCAAACAUUUCAAUAAGUUUGCUUGGCCGGAUUCUCGGCAAUUCCUGGUUGUUAUUACUUCUUUUAAGCAAAGUCCCCAACCAUAGUCUUCACAAAUGUGAUAUUAUCUUAUUUAUGUACGUGCUUUGAUAUCAGCCAUAGUACUUAGUUAACCAUGAGUAUGGUGGAUGUUAUUCAGAUUUAAGAUUUGUUGUAUGCAAUUUGUAGGUUGAUAAGUGAGGAAACUUAUUGCUGGCUGAUAUGAAUUGAGACAUUGAUUAUAUGGUUGUUAUGCCAUAUGAAUUGAAACAUUGAUUAUACGGCUGUUGUACC
Non-coding RNA from Coffea arabica (coffee), 1376 nucleotides. The record is from RefSeq and is a predicted model, not a curated record. NCBI's taxonomy places the organism in Eukaryota, Viridiplantae, Streptophyta, Magnoliopsida, Gentianales, Rubiaceae.